CCAUGGUAAGAUCUACUUCAGACCACACUCCCUUUCUACUUUCCUUCACUGCUAACCAUAAGAUAAAAUCAAAGAGCUUCAAGCCUUUUCAAUUUGAAAAUGCUUGGUAUCUUCAGUAAAAUUUUGAGAGUCUAAUUAAACAGUGGUGGCAAAGUACUUCAUCUUCAUCAGAAGCAGUUUCUAACCUAGUGCAGAAAUUAGGUUUCAUGUGCUCCCACCUG
RNAcentral lists this long non-coding RNA (221 nucleotides) under Elaeis guineensis (African oil palm). RNAcentral's name for it is "long non-coding RNA (EGUI_LNC008758)". Lineage: Eukaryota; Viridiplantae; Streptophyta; Magnoliopsida; Arecales; Arecaceae. The record is from RNAcentral.